This 254-nucleotide unclassified non-coding RNA is filed under the name uncultured Dehalococcoidia bacterium. Its description in RNAcentral is "contains 16S-23S intergenic spacer region". It matches the Rfam family "Bacterial small subunit ribosomal RNA", at positions 524 to 776 of the family's 1533-position model. The record is from RNAcentral. Lineage: Bacteria; Bacillati; Chloroflexota; Dehalococcoidia.
UACGUAGAAGGCAAGCGUUGUCCGGAUUUACUGGGCGUAAAGAGCGCGUAGGCGGCUAGGCUCGUCCGCCGUGAAAUCUCCCCGCUUAACGGGGAGGGGCCGGUGGAGUACGGUCUAGCUUGAGGACGGUAGAGGCAGGUGGAAUUCCCGGAGGAGCGGUGAAAUGCGUAGAGUUCGGGAGGAACACCAGAGGCGAAAGCGGCCUGCUGGGCCGGUCCUGACGCUGAGGCGCGAAGGCGUGGGGAGCAAACAGG